AGUGAACGCUGGCGGUAGGCCUAACACAUGCAAGUCGAACGGCAGCACAGUAAGCGCUUGCUCUUACGGGUGGCGAGUGGCGGAUGGGUGAGGAAUACAUCGGAAUCUACUUUUUCGUGGGGGAUAACGUAGGGAAACUUACGCUAAUACCGCAUACGACCUACGGGUGAAAGCAGGGGAUCUUCGGACCUUGCGCGAUUGAAUGAGCCGAUGUCGGAUUAGCUAGUUGGCGGGGUAAAGGCCCACCAAGGCGACGAUCCGUAGCUGGUCUGAGAGGAUGAUCAGCCACACUGGAACUGAGACACGGUCCAGACUCCUACGGGAGGCAGCAGUGGGGAAUAUUGGACAAAGGGCGCAAGCCUGAUCCAGCCAUACCGCGUGGGUGAAGAAGGCCUUCGGGUUGUAAAGCCCUUUUGUUGGGAAAGAAAAGCGGCAGGUUAAUACCCCGCUGUUCUGACGGUACCCAAAGAAUAAGCACCGGCUAACUUCGUG
RNAcentral lists this ribosomal RNA (492 nucleotides) under uncultured bacterium. RNAcentral describes it as "partial 16S ribosomal RNA". It matches the Rfam family "Bacterial small subunit ribosomal RNA", at positions 29 to 507 of the family's 1533-position model. The record is from RNAcentral.